ACCCCUAGCCCCAUGUAGUAAAAUCCAAAUCCAAAGCCAAAAACUUAAUACUUUGGCUUCUCUUUUCUUUCUUUGCCUAACUAAUAUUCUUGCAUUAUUCCUUCACUUCACAAAAAAAAAACCUAAUCAUUGUAAAACAUAACUUAGUUUGAUAAUUUUCUCUUCUUUCCCUCAAUAGAGGGCUAGAAGUUUAAUUUCAAACUUCUAUAUAUGGAUAAUAUUAUAAAGUUCUCUAAGUUUUUUUUAAGUUUUUUUGUUUUUCUAGUAUUUUUUUUGUUAUUGUUGAUUGAAGUACUUGAAAAUGGAGGUGUUACAACAAAAAUGAAUUAUGUUGAUGAUCAAGUUAUGAAAAAUAGCAAAGUAGUGAUGAAAACACACAAAAGAUCAAGUGGUGCUCAUCAUGUUCAUCAAAAAAUUGAUUUCAAUUUGGUGAGUAAAAGAAGAGUCCCUAAUGGUCCUGACCCAAUCCACAACAGAAGAGCUCGGAGUUCUCGUAGACCACCAGGCCAAGCUUCCAAAGGAAAACUCAACAUUAAGCCAUAAUUAACAAAUUAAGCUAAAUUAGAUAAUUAAGGUUUGUGAGAUGUUUUUUUUUUUUUUUUUUUUUUUGAAAAAAAAAAUCUUGUAUGUAAUUGUUGAAAAAGGGAAGUCUCUAUACAUAUUGUCAGAUGAAUUUUCAAAAAUCUCAGCAGCUUGUGAGAUUUUUUUUAAACUCAAAAUUAAAAAAAAUAAAAUUAGAAGGGUCUUGAAGAAACAAAAAAUUAUAAGAAGAAAAUCCGAAAUUAAAAUUAUUUUCUCAACACCACCAUUUAGAGUGUGUAUGCAGAAUUUUACAUAAGCGAUGUUAUGUGAAAUUAAUUGAGUUAUAUAUAAGUGCAAGGAUUUAUGUAAUUUGAGGUUGUAAGUUUUAACAAGGCACUAUUUUUGU
Solanum pennellii is the source of this 928-nucleotide long non-coding RNA. RefSeq lists it as uncharacterized. NCBI's taxonomy places the organism in Eukaryota, Viridiplantae, Streptophyta, Magnoliopsida, Solanales, Solanaceae. The transcript is spliced from 2 exons. The record is from RefSeq and is a predicted model, not a curated record.